RNAcentral lists this ribosomal RNA (357 nucleotides) under uncultured bacterium. Its description in RNAcentral is "bacterial SSU rRNA". It matches the Rfam family "Bacterial small subunit ribosomal RNA", at positions 8 to 353 of the family's 1533-position model. The record is from RNAcentral.
AGAGUUUGAUCCUGGCUCAGGAUGAACGCUAGCUACCGGCUUAACACAUGCAAGUCGAGGGGAAACGACAUCGAAAGCUUGCUUUUGAUGGGCGUUCGACCGGCGCACGGGUGAGUAACGCGUAUCCAACCUGCCCACCACUUGGGGAUAACCUUGCGAAAGUAAGACUAAUACCCAAUGAUAUCUCUAGAAGACAUCUGAAAGAGAUUAAAGAUUCAUCGGUGAUGGAUGGGGAUGCGUCUGAUUAGCUUGUUGGCGGGGUAACGGCCCACCAAGGCAACGAUCAGUAGGGGUUCUGAGAGGAAGGUCCCCCACAUUGGAGCUGAGACACGGUCCAAACUCCUACGGGAGGCAGCA